RNAcentral lists this ribosomal RNA (511 nucleotides) under uncultured bacterium. RNAcentral's name for it is "partial 16S ribosomal RNA". It matches the Rfam family "Bacterial small subunit ribosomal RNA", at positions 28 to 523 of the family's 1533-position model. The record is from RNAcentral.
GACGAACGCUGGCGGCGUGCCUAAUACAUGCAAGUAGAACGCUGAAGGAGGAGCUUACUUCUCUGGAUGAGUUGCGAACGGGUGAGUAACGCGUAGGUAACCUGCCUGGUAGCGGGGGAUAACUAUUGGAAACGAUAGCUAAUACCGCAUAAGAGUAGAUGUUGCAUGACAUUUACUUAAAAGGUGCAAUUGCACCACUACCAGAUGGACCUGCGUUGUAUUAGCUAGUUGGUGGGGUAACGGCUUACCAAGGCGACGAUACAUAGCCGACCUGGGAGGGUGAGCGGCCACACUGGGACUGAGGCACGGCCCAGACUCCUACGGGAGGCAGCAGUAGGGAAUCGUCGGCAAUGGACGGAAGUCUGACCGAGCAACGCCGCGUGAGUGAAGAAGGUUUUCGGAUCGUAAAGCUCUGUUGUAAGAGAAGAACGAGUGUGAGGGUGGAAAGUUCACACUGUGACGGUAUCUUACCAGAAAGGGACGGCUAACUACGUGCCAGCCGCCGCAGUAA